This 77-nucleotide transfer RNA is filed under the name Stenomitos rutilans HA7619-LM2. RNAcentral's name for it is "tRNA-Leu". It matches the Rfam family "tRNA". Rfam says of the family: Transfer RNA (tRNA) molecules are approximately 80 nucleotides in length. Their secondary structure includes four short double-helical elements and three loops (D, anti-codon, and T loops). Further hydrogen bonds mediate the characteristic L-shaped molecular structure. tRNAs have two regions of fundamental functional importance: the anti-codon, which is responsible for specific mRNA codon recognition, and the 3' end, to which the tRNAs corresponding amino acid is attached (by aminoacyl-tRNA synthetases). tRNAs cope with the degeneracy of the genetic code in two manners: having more than one tRNA (with a specific anti-codon) for a particular amino acid; and 'wobble' base-pairing, i.e. permitting non-standard base-pairing at the 3rd anti-codon position. RNAcentral also lists the same sequence under 1 other name. The record is from RNAcentral. Lineage: Bacteria; Bacillati; Cyanobacteriota; Cyanophyceae; Leptolyngbyales; Leptolyngbyaceae.
GCUGCUGUAGCCCAAGAGGAAGAGGUGUCGGUCUUAGAAACCGGAGGUUGUGGGUUCAAAUCCCAUCGGCAGUACCA